CAGAGGGUGCGAGUGUUAAUCGGAAUUAUUGGGCGUAAAGCGCGCGCAGGCGGUUCCUUAAGUCUGAUGUGAAAGCCCCCGGCUCAACCGGGGAAGGUCAUUGGAAACUGGGGAACUUGAGUGCAGAAGAGAAGAGCGGAAUUCCACGUGUAGCGGUGAAAUGCGUAGAGAUGUGGAGGAACACCAGUGGCGAAGGCGGCUCUUUGGUCUGUAACUGACGCUGAGGCGCGAAAGCGUGGGGAGCAAACAGGAUUAGAUACCCUGGUAGUCCACGCCGUAAACGAUGAGUGCUAAGUGUUAGAGGGUUUCCGCCCUUUAGUGCUGCAGCUAACGCAUUAAGCACUCCGCCUGGGGAGUACGGCCGCAAGGCUG
Molecule: ribosomal RNA, 372 nt
Filed under: uncultured organism
Description: bacterial SSU rRNA
Rfam family: Bacterial small subunit ribosomal RNA
Source: RNAcentral